GGGAAGGUGGCUCAGUGGUAGAGCGCUUGCCUUGCAUGCAUGAGGCCCUGGGUUUGAGUCCACACCACCACA
Molecule: transfer RNA, 72 nt
Filed under: Dipodomys ordii (Ord's kangaroo rat)
Lineage: Eukaryota; Metazoa; Chordata; Mammalia; Rodentia; Heteromyidae
Rfam family: tRNA
About the family: Transfer RNA (tRNA) molecules are approximately 80 nucleotides in length. Their secondary structure includes four short double-helical elements and three loops (D, anti-codon, and T loops).
Source: Rfam by way of RNAcentral